RNAcentral lists this ribosomal RNA (265 nucleotides) under uncultured prokaryote. Its description in RNAcentral is "partial 16S ribosomal RNA". It matches the Rfam family "Bacterial small subunit ribosomal RNA", at positions 524 to 788 of the family's 1533-position model. The record is from RNAcentral.
UACGGAGGGUGCAAGCGUUGUUCGGAAUUACUGGGCGUAAAGAGCGCGCAGGUGGUUGAUUAAGUCUGAUGUGAAAGCCCACGGCUUAACCGUGGAGGGUCAUUGGAAACUGGUCGACUUGAGUGCAGAAGAGGGAAGUGGAAUUCCAUGUGUAGCGGUGAAAUGCGUAGAGAUAUGGAGGAACACCAGUGGCGAAGGCGGCUUCCUGGUCUGUAACUGACACUGAGGCGCGAAAGCGUGGGGAGCAAACAGGAUUAGAUACCCU